Molecule: ribosomal RNA, 1135 nt
Filed under: human gut metagenome
Description: bacterial LSU rRNA
Rfam family: Bacterial large subunit ribosomal RNA
Source: RNAcentral
AGCAGCCACUCAUUAAAAGAGUGCGUAAUAGCUCACUGGUCGAGUGACUCUGCGCGGAAAAUAUAACGGGGCUAAGUAUGCAACCGAAGCUUGGGAUUGUCUAAAGACAGUGGUAGGGGAGCGUCGUGUAUGGGGUGAAGUCGCAUCGGAAGGAGCGGUGGACUGUACACGAGUGAGAAUGCCGGAAUGAGUAGCGAGAAUUAUGUGGGAAUCAUAAUGGCCGAAAAUCUAAGGUUUCUUGGGGAAGGUUCGUCCGCCCAAGGUAAGCCGGGAGCUAAGGCGAGGCCGCAAGGCGUAGUCGAUGCACAUACGGUAGAAAUUCCGUAGCCACCGAACCUUAAACCGGAAGGACACUUUCAGAUAGCAGAACCCAGCCGUUGGUAGAGCUGGGCGAAAGGGACUGAAAUAUAGUAGGGAAGUCUGCGAUGCUGAGAGGCGAGAAAAGCUCCGGUGUAUGCUAAGGUGCCCGUACCGCAAACCGACACAGGUAGAUGAGGAGAGAAUCCUAAGGCCAACGGGAGAAGGGUUGUUAAGGAACUCGGCAAAAUUACCCCGUAACUUCGGGAUAAGGGGAGCUCCCUAAGGGGAGCCGCAGAGAAUAGGCCCAAGCGACUGUUUACCAAAAACACAGGUCUAUGCUAAAUCGAAAGAUGACGUAUAUGGGCUGACGCCUGCCCGGUGCCGGAAGGUUAAGAGGAGAUGUCAGCGCAAGCGAAGCAUUGAAUUGAAGCCCCGGUAAACGGCGGCCGUAACUAUAACGGUCCUAAGGUAGCGAAAUUCCUUGUCAGGUAAGUUCUGACCCGCACGAAUGGCGUAACGAUUUGGGCGCUGUCUCGGCGAGAGGCUCGGCGAAAUUGGAUUAUCCGUGAAGAUACGGAUUACGUGUACCAGGACAGAAAGACCCUAUUGAGCUUUACUGUAGCUUGAAAUUGAAUUCGGGUUCUCAUUGCGCAGUAUAGGUGGGAGACUAAGAAGCUUGAACUUUGGUUUAAGUGGAGUCAUCGUUGAGAUACCACUCUGUGAAAAUUUGGAUUCUAACCUUGAUCCCUCAAAGAACAGGGCAAGGGACAGUUUCUGGUAGGCAGUUUGACUGGGGCGGUCGCCUCCUAAAAAGUAACGGAGGCGUUCAAAGGUU